Nicotiana attenuata is the source of this 2184-nucleotide RNA transcript. RefSeq lists it as uncharacterized. The transcript has 13 exons. The record is from RefSeq and is a predicted model, not a curated record. Lineage: Eukaryota; Viridiplantae; Streptophyta; Magnoliopsida; Solanales; Solanaceae.
ACCACCUUUUCAUAUUCAUUUCGUGCAAAUAGGCAAAUCAUAAUUGUGUGGAAAGAAAAGGAAACUGCAUUCCCAGAAUUAUUAUGUGGAAAGCAAUCCAAGAAAGACAUUGUCUCCUUCUCACAAAGUUGUUAUACUACUAAUAGCUUACUUAUUCAGUUUGCUUCAUAACCCAAAAAUUCCCAAACCCAUAAUGACUACUCUCUUCCACUUUCCCAAAUUAGUCUUCUUUUCUCCUCUCCCUACUUCUCUCUGCUGCACUCGUCAUCAUUACCUUCUUGUUUACCGUUCAAAACCAGCAAUUUGUGCUUCAACUAAAAAACCCAGGGCAACCCGGAAGGUGAAAAGCAACAUUGAUCUCUGCAAUGACAUCAGGGAGCUUUUAUCUUCUGUUGGACUUCCCGAGGAUCAUGUACCCACCAUGAAGGAGCUUUCUCAGCACGGAAGGCAAGACCUCGCAAACAUUGUUAGAAGAAGAGGUUAUAAACUUCUCAGGGAGCUUCUGUCAACUUCCAAGCAACCAACCUAUGAUGAGUGCAGUGAAGCAGAUGGCCUUGUUGAAAAAAGUGGAGAUGAAUCGUCAGGUCAGGAUGGAAAAAUGACGGACAUGGCUCAUGAUGUUUCCUUACCAAGUGAAGCGUCUGCAGUAGAUGACUACACGAAUGAUGCAAACAAUGACAGAGUGGUGAAGUCUGAUGAGCAAAAUUCUGGUGAUCAACAGCCUUCACGCUAUUCCUCCUUGGAAGAAAAGGUGGCCAAUUUUAUUCAGAAUGGAGAAUUGGAUAGUGUAGAGGAUAGUGGCUUUGAAAUUUUCAAUGAAAGAGGUUCCGAGCAAUUGGAGGGAUCUGUUGUAGGACAGGAUGUUGUAAAAACAGAAUCUACUACUCCGAAGGAGCAUAAAGAUCUUGUUCUCUGUAACGAUAAUGGUGCAGAGUUACAUAAUGGAAAUUCCAUGCCAACAUCAACCCAGCAUGUUGAACAUCGUAGUGGGCAGAGUUUCGGGAUGAGGAAUAAUAGCCUUUCAACUGAAGACCUAGCCAUGACUGAAGGGAGAAAUAGUGCUGAUGUUGAGCCCCAAAAAGUGGAGAAUCAAGCUGAAAUUAAUCGUCUCAAGUUCAUGCUGCAUCAGAAGGAGCUGGAGUUAACUCAUUUGAAGCAGCAGAUUGAAGAGGAAAAGCGCUUACUAUCUAGUCUGCAAAUCAAAGCUGAAAGAGAAAUCAGCGAAGCACAAAGACUUAUUUUGGAAAAAGAUGCAGAACUAAAUGCUGCUGAAGAUAGCCUUUCAGGACUGAAGGAGGUUGAAAUUCAAUAUUGGGCGGAUGGGGAAAGUGUUGAGGUGGCAGGCAGCUUCAACGGGUGGCAUCAUAAAGUAAAAAUGGAUCUACAAGCAUCAUCCGGUGUCAUAGAUCCCAUUGACCAAGAUAUACAAGCAUCAUCAGAUACUCCCGUUGGCACGAGUUACUGUAGUAUUAUGAAUAACAUGAUAAAAGAUGCUUUCCAGGAAACCUCGACUUUGGAAAACUGUGCUAUGGCUGUAUCCAGGGAUAUAUGAGAUAAAAUUCGUUGUUGAUGGCCACUGGACAACUGAUCCCCAAAUGGAGUCUGUUACAAGAGGUGCAAUACACAAUAAUGUACUACGAGUUGAUAGAUGAGUUGGGCUAUUGCAUUCCCACAUGCACAUACAGAGACUAUGCACAUCAGUAGGAAGGACAUUCUUGAAGAUCAUGCUGUCCAAUUGCGUUUAUGUUGUUGCAAAUCAAUGAGCUGAUCCAUGCAACUUGAAGGUAACGUGCUUCUUCUACUUGUAAUCGUCUCAUCUCAUUUGAAGACCGGGGAAGUGGGCUACUUGCUCAACAUAACAGCUGCUGUUGAAAAUGUCUAGUUUUAGCCCUGUAGAGUUCUAAUAUAGCAAUGGUUUUUGUAUAUUCUAUUUCCUGAUCAUUGGAAGCAAUCUGUCAAGGGAAAAUCACUUGAGCUUUUUCGGCUUUGCUCCUUUCCGGAGCAGGUUUGAAUACAGAAAGAGAUUUGCAUAUAUAGUUGAGCCAGGGGCUGCAAAAUAUGGCCCAGUAGGAUGAUUUGUUAUAUAGUUGCCUGCGGAUUGAACUGUAUAGGAGGAUAUUUACCUACAAAUUAUUACUAUUGAUUGUACAGUAGUGAAAUCUUUGCAUGCCUCCUAUCUUCACA